AUUGAACGCUGGCGGCAUGCCUUACACAUGCAAGUCGAACGGCAGCACGGGUGCUUGCCCCUGGUGGCGAGUGGCGAACGGGUGAGUAAUACAUCGGAACAUGUCCUGUAGUGGGGGAUAGCCCGGCGAAAGCCGGAUUAAUACCGCAUACGAUCUACGGAUGAAAGCGGGGGACCUUCGGGCCUCGCGCUAUAGGGUUGGCCGAUGGCUGAUUAGCUAGUUGGUGGGGUAAAGGCCUACCAAGGCGACGAUCAGUAGCUGGUCUGAGAGGACGACCAGCCACACUGGGACUGAGACACGGCCCAGACUCCUACGGUAGGCAGCAGUGGGGAAUUUUGGACAAUGGGCGAAAGCCUGAUCCAGCAAUGCCGCGUGUGUGAAGAAGGCCUUCGGGUUGUAAAGCACUUUUGUCCGGAAAGAAAUCCUUGGCCCUAAUACGGUCGGGGGAUGACGGUACCGGAAGAAUAAGCACCGGCUAACUACGUG
RNAcentral lists this ribosomal RNA (486 nucleotides) under uncultured bacterium. Its description in RNAcentral is "partial 16S ribosomal RNA". It matches the Rfam family "Bacterial small subunit ribosomal RNA", at positions 30 to 507 of the family's 1533-position model. The record is from RNAcentral.